AUGUGUUCCCAGGAGCUCGAGACCAUCGACCACCUCCUUGUGGGCUGCGCCUUCUCACGGAUAACCUGGCACGAAAUCCUCUCUUGAUGCCGAUUGGUAACACCGCCCAUGCUCAACUUCACCACUUUCUUCGACUGGUGGUGUCAGGCCACGGCGGCCUCUCCGGAUAGCCUUAUGAGAGGCCUCAACUCCAUCAUUGCCAUCACCGCUUGGGCCAUCUGGAAGCACAGGAACGCGGCCAUCUUUGAUGGCGCCCGACCCUCCAUCGACGACCUUUUGCAGCCGGUCAAGGAAGAAGCGUGCAUAUGGGUAGCGGCCGGUGCUAGAGGUUUAGGAAGAAUUAUACCUGUAACCUGA
Molecule: ribosomal RNA, 357 nt
Filed under: Triticum aestivum (bread wheat)
Lineage: Eukaryota; Viridiplantae; Streptophyta; Magnoliopsida; Poales; Poaceae
Description: partial small subunit ribosomal RNA
Source: RNAcentral